Long non-coding RNA from Salvia miltiorrhiza (redroot sage), 1269 nucleotides. RefSeq lists it as uncharacterized. The transcript has 2 exons. The record is from RefSeq and is a predicted model, not a curated record. NCBI's taxonomy places the organism in Eukaryota, Viridiplantae, Streptophyta, Magnoliopsida, Lamiales, Lamiaceae.
AGAGGCCCAAUAUUAAUAAAUAAGCCAGCCCAACUCAAUUAAAAUAAAAGCCCAAUUUAAAAAUAAAUAGUAGCCCAUCUCCACAUAACUCUCGGUUCUCUCUCUGUAAAACCAAUCUCGCCUUUCUCUCUCUCUCUGGAAGAGCCGACCCUCCCUUUUUUUUUUCCUCAAAGCAGACACCCCUCUCUAUCUAUUUCUCCCUUUUUCUCAGCCUCCUUCAAUCGGCUGAGAGCGGCGCCGCCUCCGGCGCGCCGCCUCGCCGUUGCCUCCUCCCUUCACUUCUCGGUUCUCUCCCUCUCUCUGGAUUUUCAGAUCGGCCGAGCUCUCUCUCAACCACCGAGAACCGCUCAGCCCCUUCCUCUCAGUUCCGGUCGGUUCCUUCUUCUCCGGCCGCUCAGCGGCCGUCGAUUCCGGUCUGCUUCGACCGGCUGUCGCACCUCCAUAUGAAAUCCGGCGGCUCAAACGGCGCCGGUCGUCGUCUGGAAGUGGCUGCUGCUUCGCCUGGAGUCGCCGCCGGCUGGAGUUGCUGCUGCUCGUCCGGUGGUCAGCGCCUGCUGGAGGAGCGCUGCCGCCGCCCGCUGCUUAAGCCUUCCAGCGCCGCCGUGCUGUCACUGAGCAACCGGCGAGAAGAGUACGCCGCUGCUGCUGCCGUUCGAAGGUUCGGUAAAGUCGCUAGCGUCGCUCCCUCGAGCUUCGACGCCACUGCUGCUACUGGAAUCUUCUGCUUCGCCGUGUCGCUGCACUCCAGAAUCGGUGAGCACCGCCGCUGCUGCGAUGCGAUUUCCGGCGAACAGGGGAGAGUCCGCCGUUGCUGCUUUCUCCGAGAAGCUCGCGAAUGGCCGCCCAGACGUCGUCUCUCAACUGGACUAAGCAGGGCAGCCCUCUAAAGCUAUGUUCUCUCGUCUACUUUUUAUCGAUUCGAAAACGUGAACUAGACAAGGUUGCAUAUGGAAGAAAUGUGAAGAAAUUGAACCAAGCUUACCUCUGAAAUUUUGGCAGCAGGGCGAUGAAUGCAGAUUUCUCCUGGGUGAAUUCCCUUGUGAAGAUUGGGAGUGAAAAUGGUGUAAUAUUGCAUAAUUGAGUGAUGAGUGGUGGGAAAAAUGAUGAGCGGUGGGGGAAAGUGAGUGGUGGGGAAAAGUGGUGUAGAGAAGUGGGGAACAAAAAUUAAUGGAAAGAAAAAGAAAGAAAAAAAAAUGUAGAGAAGAAUUAAUGAUGUAUUUUCUAUGUCUCGGUGAUUCUGUAACUGUAAUAAAAUACUGGCUUCGAUUC